AAAAUGCGAUAAGUAAUGUGAAUUGCAGAAUUCAGUGAAUCAUCGAAUCUUUGAACGCACAUUGCGCCCGCCAGUAUUCUGGCGGGCAUGCCUGUUCGAGCGUCAUUUCAACCCUCAAGCUCAGCUUGGUGUUGGGACUCGCGGUAACCCGAGUUCCCCAAAUCGAUUGGCGGUCACGUCGAGCUUCCAUAGCGUAGUAAUCAUACACCUCGUUACUGGUAAUCGUCGCGGCCACGCCGUAAAACCCCAACUUCUGAAUGUUGACCUCGGAUCAGGUAGGAAUACCCGCUGAACUUAAG
RNAcentral lists this unclassified non-coding RNA (299 nucleotides) under plant metagenome. Its description in RNAcentral is "partial contains 5.8S ribosomal RNA, internal transcribed spacer 2, and large subunit ribosomal RNA". The stretch from base 1 to 105 matches the Rfam family "5.8S ribosomal RNA", at positions 50 to 154 of the family's 154-position model. The record is from RNAcentral.